RNAcentral lists this transfer RNA (85 nucleotides) under Felis catus (domestic cat). It matches the Rfam family "tRNA". Rfam says of the family: Transfer RNA (tRNA) molecules are approximately 80 nucleotides in length. Their secondary structure includes four short double-helical elements and three loops (D, anti-codon, and T loops). Further hydrogen bonds mediate the characteristic L-shaped molecular structure. tRNAs have two regions of fundamental functional importance: the anti-codon, which is responsible for specific mRNA codon recognition, and the 3' end, to which the tRNAs corresponding amino acid is attached (by aminoacyl-tRNA synthetases). tRNAs cope with the degeneracy of the genetic code in two manners: having more than one tRNA (with a specific anti-codon) for a particular amino acid; and 'wobble' base-pairing, i.e. permitting non-standard base-pairing at the 3rd anti-codon position. The record is from Rfam by way of RNAcentral. Lineage: Eukaryota; Metazoa; Chordata; Mammalia; Carnivora; Felidae.
GCCUGUAUGGCUCAGUCGGUUAAGCGUCCAACUUCUGCUCAGGUCAUGAUUUCACAGUUUGUGAGUUCGAGUCCCACUUCGGGCU